This 465-nucleotide ribosomal RNA is filed under the name uncultured bacterium. RNAcentral describes it as "partial 16S ribosomal RNA". It matches the Rfam family "Bacterial small subunit ribosomal RNA", at positions 28 to 507 of the family's 1533-position model. The record is from RNAcentral.
GACGAACGCUGGCGGCGUGCUUAACACAUGCAAGUCGAACGGAAAGGCCCUGCUUGCAGGGUACUCGAGUGGCGAACGGGUGAGUAACACGUGGGUGAUCUGCCCUGCACUUCGGGAUAAGCCUGGGAAACUGGGUCUAAUACCGGAUAGGAGCCAUUUUUAGUGUGAUGGUUGGAAAGUUUUUUCGGUGUAGGAUGAGCUCGCGGCCUAUCAGCUUGUUGGUGGGGUAAUGGCCUACCAAGGCGGCGACGGGUAGCCGGCCUGUGAGGGUGGACGGCCACAUUGGGACUGAGGUACGGCCCAGACUCCUACGGGAGGCAGCAGUGGGGAAUAUUGCACAAUGGGCGCAAGCCUGAUGCAGCGACGCCGCGUGGGGGAUGACGGCCUUCGGGUUGUAAACUCCUUUCGCUAGGGACGAAGCUUUUUGUGACGGUACCUAGAUAAGAAGCACCGGCUAACUACGUG